UGCGUAGGUGGCAAGGGGUGUCCGGGAUUUUUGGGCGUAAAGCGCGCGCAGGCGGCCUCUUAAGUCUGAUGUGAAAGCCCCCGGCUCAACCGGGGAGGGCCAUUGGAAACUGGGAGGCUUGAGUAGAAGAGAGAAGAGUGGAAUUCCACGUGUAGCGGUGAAAUGCGUAGAGAUGUGGAGGAACACCAGUGGCGAAGGCGACUCUUUGGCCUAUAACUGACGCUGAGGCGCCAAAGCGUGGGGAGCAAACAGG
RNAcentral lists this unclassified non-coding RNA (253 nucleotides) under uncultured Caryophanales bacterium. RNAcentral's name for it is "uncultured Bacillales bacterium contains 16S-23S intergenic spacer region". It matches the Rfam family "Bacterial small subunit ribosomal RNA", at positions 524 to 776 of the family's 1533-position model. The record is from RNAcentral. Lineage: Bacteria; Bacillati; Bacillota; Bacilli; Caryophanales.